This 360-nucleotide ribosomal RNA is filed under the name Roseomonas sp. 1 LOT M5. RNAcentral describes it as "bacterial SSU rRNA". It matches the Rfam family "Bacterial small subunit ribosomal RNA", at positions 164 to 556 of the family's 1533-position model. Lineage: Bacteria; Pseudomonadati; Pseudomonadota; Alphaproteobacteria; Acetobacterales; Roseomonadaceae. The record is from RNAcentral.
UAAUACCGCAUAUGGGCUGAGGCCCAAAGCCGAGAGGCGCCUUAGGAGCGGCCUGCGUCCGAUUAGGUAGUUGGUGGGGUAAAGGCCUACCAAGCCUGCGAUCGGUAGCUGGUCUGAGAGGACGACCAGCCACACUGGGACUGAGACACGGCCCAGACUCCUACGGGAGGCAGCAGUGGGGAAUAUUGGACAAUGGGCGAAAGCCUGAUCCAGCAAUGCCGCGUGGGUGAAGAAGGUCUUCGGAUCGUAAAGCCCUUUCGACGGGGACGAUGAUGACGGUACCCGUAGAAGAAGCCCCGGCUAACUUCGUGCCAGCAGCCGCGGUAAUACGAAGGGGGCUAGCGUUGCUCGGAAUUACUG